This 584-nucleotide ribosomal RNA is filed under the name uncultured bacterium. RNAcentral's name for it is "bacterial SSU rRNA". It matches the Rfam family "Bacterial small subunit ribosomal RNA", at positions 800 to 1384 of the family's 1533-position model. The record is from RNAcentral.
CNGUAAACGAUGAGUGCUAGGUGUUAGNCCCUUUCCGGGGCUUAGUGCCGGAGCUAACGCAAUAAGCACUCCGCNUGGGGAGUACGACCGCAAGGUUGAAACUCAAAGGAAUUGACGGGGGCCCGCACAAGCGGUGGAGCAUGUGGUUUAAUUCGAAGCAACGCGAAGANCCUUACCAGGUCUUGACAUCCCGAUGCUAUUCUUAGAGAUAGGAAGUUACUUCGGUACAUCGGAGACAGGUGGUGCAUGGUUGUCGUCAGCUCGUGUCGUGAGAUGUUGGGUUAAGUNNCGCAACGAGCGCAACCCUUAUUGUUAGUUGCCAUCAUUAAGUUGGGCACUCUAGCGAGACUGCCGGUAAUAAACCGGAGGAAGGUGGGGAUGACGUCAAAUCAUCAUGCCCCUUAUGACCUGGGCUACACACGUGCUACAGUGGUCGGUACAACGAGUUGCGAGCCGGUGACGGCAAGCUAAUCUCUGAAAGCCGAUCUCAGUUCGGAUUGGAGGCUGCAACUCGCCUCCAUGAAGUCGGAAUCGCUAGUAAUCGCGGAUCAGCACGCCGCGGUGAAUACGUUCCCGGGCCUUGU